This 498-nucleotide ribosomal RNA is filed under the name uncultured bacterium. RNAcentral describes it as "partial 16S ribosomal RNA". It matches the Rfam family "Bacterial small subunit ribosomal RNA", at positions 30 to 523 of the family's 1533-position model. The record is from RNAcentral.
AUUGAACGCUGGCGGCAUGCCUUACACAUGCAAGUCGAACGGAUUUUGGGGCUUGCUCCAAAGUUAGUGGCGAACGGGUGAGUAAAGCAUCGGAACGUACCCAGUCGUGGGGGAUAACGUAGCGAAAGUUACGCUAAUACCGCAUACGAUCUGAGGAUGAAAGCGGGGGACCUUCGGGCCUCGCGCGAUUGGAGCGGCCGAUGUCGGAUUAGCUAGUUGGUGAGGUAAAGGCUCACCAAGGCGACGAUCCGUAGCUGGUCUGAGAGGACGACCAGCCACACUGGGACUGAGACACGGCCCAGACUCCUACGGGAGGCAGCAGUGGGGAAUUUUGGACAAUGGGCGAAAGCCUGAUCCAGCCAUGCCGCGUGAGUGAAGAAGGCCUUCGGGUUGUAAAGCUCUUUCAGACGGAAAGAAAUCUCUCGGGUGAAUAUCCCGGGAGGAUGACGGUACCGUAAGAAGAAGCACCGGCUAACUACGUGCCAGCAGCCGCCGCCG